CAUCUGUUUUAACAUUCACGCUCAUGGAAAUGAUGACUCCUAUCGGAAACGAAAAACAUAAAAAUGCUCCCAUACCAGAAUACAAAUGUUCUUCCUGAAGUAACUCUAAUUUUAUGGAUGGUCCUUGACUGAAUGAACUGAACAAAAUUGGGAAAAAUCUACAAUAAAGGCUCCGAUCUGCACCAGUCUAUAAGGCAUACUAGUCGAUUCUGUCGCCGUUUCCUUAAUAUGUACAUAGGUGCUCGCGGAAAUGCUGGGUAAGUGCUUUAACUGCCUGUCCUACAUAAGCUACAAGUGCACUUCCAAGAAUAUAUCCAAAAUUUGUAACGAUGAUAUCAUGUGCCAAGAAUCAGCCGUAAGACCUAGAUGAGGAUAGGUUCCUCCCUUUUGGAUCUCAUGUUGUCUUGCAAAAUACGUUGCCUCGUUACCUUUCUUGUCAUCUCAAUAUUCAAUAUUUCUGUUGUCCAUCCUAUUUCUAGCUCUAAGUUGAAAAUCAACUUUAAAUAUAAC
Long non-coding RNA from Stomoxys calcitrans (stable fly), 510 nucleotides. RefSeq lists it as uncharacterized. The transcript is spliced from 3 exons. NCBI's taxonomy places the organism in Eukaryota, Metazoa, Arthropoda, Insecta, Diptera, Muscidae. The record is from RefSeq and is a predicted model, not a curated record.